Molecule: long non-coding RNA, 2059 nt
Filed under: Homo sapiens (human)
Lineage: Eukaryota; Metazoa; Chordata; Mammalia; Primates; Hominidae
Description: HSALNT0184194
Source: RNAcentral
AUGGAAUUCAUCUCUCCUUAGCUAGCGAAGCAACUCUAAACAUGUAAUUAAGAUCAAAGAUACAUUGUUAAGGUUGCCAGCAGUUAAUCAGAUCAUUGAUUUUGCCCCAUUUUUGUGCAUGUAUCGCUGAGGCAAGCACUACGAUCACUGACUUUGAAUCCAGCAGUUAAUCAGAUCAUUGAUUUUGUCCCAUUUUUGUGCAUGUAUCGCUGAGGCAAGCACUAUGAUCACUGACUUUGAAUAACAGAUCCAAGUGUGUCUCUGUCCUCGCCCUGUUCUCCUUAUAAGAAUAUUGAGAUACCAUAUAUGCAAUUAUUAAUUUCAAGUGUUUUGUGAAAACUUUGCAUGGUUUAUCACUAUGUUAGAUGUUGUAGGAGAUACCAACGAAACAAAAGAACUCACCCCUUCCUAAAUGUUGGAGGGUAACACAGCAGACUCCUCGCCAAGGUCUGGCACAUAACAGGGGUUCAGUAACAGUCAAUCCCUUUUCCACCCACCCUUUCUCUUCACAAGAAAAAGCACCCUCCUGCGGGAGAGUAGGGGAGGUGGUGUUCUAACAAUGCUUUCACUCGAUGCUGUGGCUGAACAAAGGUCUAGAGCUUAAAGUCCAAGCCCAGGUCUCAGAAACGGUAGGGAAACCUGUUUUCCUCACGCUUCCAUUUUAUGAACUAUAAAAUGAGAAUAAAACACCUGUCGGCUGUGCAGUAAUCGAAGAUCUUUUUAUUAUCCGAGAAUAAGAAGUGCUAUUGAAACGCAAAGCUUUAUUUAUUACAAAUACUCAGCAGGGACGAAUUCCCAUAGAUACUCUUAACAACUUGGCAGGGGCUCUUCUGACUCCUUCCAAGAUUAAGCUCCUCAUCUCUGCGAACAUAAAACUCGAUCUGCUACACAGCUUGCAGAUCAUGACGCCCUGAACAUCACAGUGACAAUCUCCUGUGCCCUCCGCCUCAGCGUGUUCUGCUAAGGGUGAUAUACUAUCCAUUCGGAAGCUUAGGCGGGCACAUCCUGCUGCUUCAUGGGCUGGGAUGGAUGAAGUGUUGCUGGAAAUCUGGGCCAUUUGUCAACUCCUAGAACAUCUAUCCUCUAGAAACUAGCUAUAAAUACCUUUAGAAAUAACUUCCUUCAAAGGAUUGGGUAAAACAUGCCAACUGGGUUUUUACAAAUGAAAGGUUUACUUUGUCUGGUAAAAGAAAACCGUCGUUACUUCCAAAGGCUCAUUAAAGCCUUUGUAGGUUAACUUGUGGGACGACACUGCCACCUGGUGGUCGGCGUGCACUGUGCGCACGGAGCUCCCCAAUGGAAGUUACACACUGCUCAAAGAACCACCAGACUUAUUAAUAAAGAACUAAGCUCUGAGAACAGCCCUUCUCACAGAGACACUGAUUCUUCUGAAGUGGCUCCAUACAUUUAAGGAAACAUACUAAGCUUGGCAUUUACUGAGUGACCUAAGCAAAGAAUUUUCCUACCCGCUCAAUUCUUAGUACCAGGUGUACUGAAGGACGUGAUUUCUAAAAGCAAAACAAAACAAAAACACUUGAAAGGCAGGCCUGGUGGUGACAAAAUCUCUCAGCAUUUGCUUGUGUGUAAAGGAUUUUAUUUCUCCUUCGCUUAUGAAGCUUAGUUUGGCUGGAUAUGAAAUUCUGGGUUGAAAAUUCUAUUCUUUUUUUUUUUUUGAAACGGAGUCUCGCUCUGUCGCCCGAGUAGCUGGGACUACAGGCGCCCUCCAUCAUGCCCGGCUAAUUUUUUGUAUUUUUAGUAGAGACAGGGUUUCACCGUGUUAGCCAGGAUGGUCUCGAUCUCCUGACCUCGUGAUCCACCUGUCUCAGCCUCCCAAAGUGCUGGGCUUACAGGUGUGAGCCACCGCGCCUGGCCCCUGAAAAUUCUAUUCUUUAAGAAUGUUGAAUGUUGGCCCCCACUCUCUUCUGGCUUGUAGGGUUUCUGCAGAGAUAUCCACUGUUAGUCUGAUGGGCUUCCCUUUGUGGGUAACUUGACCUUUCUGGCCUCCCUUAACAUUUUUUCCUUCAUUUCAACCUUGGUGAAUCUGAAAAUUAUGUGUCUU